This 442-nucleotide ribosomal RNA is filed under the name uncultured bacterium. RNAcentral describes it as "partial 16S ribosomal RNA". It matches the Rfam family "Bacterial small subunit ribosomal RNA", at positions 338 to 795 of the family's 1533-position model. The record is from RNAcentral.
CCUACGGGAGGCUGCAGUGGGGGAUAUUGCACAAUGGGCGAAAGCCUGAUGCAGCGACGCCGCGUGAGGGAAGACGGUCUUCGGAUUGUAAACCUCUGUCUUUGGGGAAGAAGAUGACGGUACCCAAAGAGGAAGCUCCGGCUAACUACGUGCCAGCAGCCGCGGUCAUACGUAGGAUCCGAGCAUUAUCCGGAGUGACUGGGUGUAAAGAGUUGCGUAGGUGGCAUAAUAAGUAGCUAGUGGAAUCUGGUGGCUCAACCAUUCAGACUAUUAGCUAAACUGUUGAGCUCGAGUGCGUUAGGGGUAACUGGAAUUUCUGGUGUAGGGGUGAAAUGCGUAGAUAUUAGAAGGAACACCGAUAGCGUAGGCAGGUUGCUGGGACGGUUCUGACACUAAGGCACGAAAGCGUAGGGAGCAAACGGGAUUAGAUACCCCAGUAGUC